CGAUCCUGCCACUUUCCUGUUAAUGCCUUCGAGGUCUACCACUGUUUCUAGGAUGAAGGCCAAAAGUGACAAGGUGAUGCCUGCCAGCCCGCCCUGUUUGUGAGAUGAUUUUAAAAUAAGCUGAAACAAUGUAAGACAUACCCGGGUCAAUCUAUAAAUAAUAACAGUAGAGAAGCAUGGCGGCGAAACAAAAGAUGGUUUCAAUCCUUGAACCCUGAGGGGUGAUGCUUCAUAAAGACAACCCUUUUAGGGAAGACUUCUCCAAGGUCUCUCAGAGUCUACACAUUGUCCAGUUAUGAGUCUAUGUGGGAAUUCCAUCUAUUGCAAGGAGAAGCUUCUUUGAUGAGGACUGAAGGAGGUACAACAGCGUCAGAGGACGAGUUUUGAAAAUCUCAGCACAAUUAGGAUAAUUCUAGGAGCCUGUGGUACCCAAACUGAUGCAAUUGAGGAG
Non-coding RNA from Myodes glareolus (Bank vole), 451 nucleotides. The record is from RefSeq and is a predicted model, not a curated record. NCBI's taxonomy places the organism in Eukaryota, Metazoa, Chordata, Mammalia, Rodentia, Cricetidae.